CAGGUCUCCGAGGAAGUCAGCUUCUGGCCUCAAAGCUGUUCUGAAGCUCCUGGGAGGAAAAGGGAGGUGAGGUGGCAAGAGCCCUUGCGCGGGAUCAACGGACGGGGCCCCUAACUCGGUGUCUGUCACGCUUGAGGCGGCCAUGGGCGUUAAGGAGCGUGAGUAACCCGAUGUCCCGGGGGCGCCGCAAAAAGAAGCGAGAAUUAACACGGAUUGAGGGUCCUCGAGGUGCUGGCACCCUGCAAAUACCGUCUUAUUUAAACCCUCAACAAUCCCUUAUGACCCCCAGGAAGAUCAAGGACCUUCAGGUGUCCGUAGACCGCCCUUUGAGAACCGCUGCUCUGGGAUGCAAGCCCAGGAGUGAAGCUGCUGCAUCACAAGGUAGGUAUAACUUUAUCUUUCCCAGAAAGUGCCACACUCUUCCAAGGUGGUUGGACUCAUUCAUAUUCUCAUCCACAGCCUAGAAUUCCCAUCACUCCACAUUAUCACCACCAGCUGCUAGGGCCUUGGUGCUUCAUAGUGGUUUUCUUUGCACUUCUCUCAUUAAAGAGGGGAAUGAGGUGGAGCUAGUCUUCAUAUGUUUAUUGGCUUUGUGGAUUUUCUUUUUGAUGAGGUGUCUAUUCAAAUCUCAUGCCCAUUUUUCACAUUAGUUGUGUGAGUUUGUAUAUGUCUUAGAUUCAAGUCCUUUGUUGGUUCUAUCUGUAGCUAAUAUCUUCUCCAAUGCUGUGGCUUCAGUUUGCACUCUCUUAGGUAUCAUUUCAUGAGCAUAAGUUCUUUAAUGUAGUUGAAUUUAUCGAAUUUUUAUGGUCUUGCUUUUUAUAUUAUUUAAGAAUCCUUUCCCUAUCCCAAAGUUAUAAAGUAAAAAAAUUCUUCCAUAUUAUCUUC
RNAcentral lists this long non-coding RNA (885 nucleotides) under Equus caballus (horse). RNAcentral's name for it is "lncRNA (ENSECAG00000054751.1)". The record is from RNAcentral. Lineage: Eukaryota; Metazoa; Chordata; Mammalia; Perissodactyla; Equidae.